Long non-coding RNA from Nothobranchius furzeri (turquoise killifish), 684 nucleotides. RefSeq lists it as uncharacterized. NCBI's taxonomy places the organism in Eukaryota, Metazoa, Chordata, Actinopteri, Cyprinodontiformes, Nothobranchiidae. The record is from RefSeq and is a predicted model, not a curated record.
GCUGUUCCUGCCAAGCCAGGCAGAAUAGCUGAAUCGCGACUUCUAACGCAGACUCAUUACCGAGUCUUUUGAUUUCUGAGUGAAUUAACUUAAGAAAGCGCAUCGACAAAACGCUCUACCAUCCACGUGUACCGAGGGCAACUCUGGACCGGUUCCGUUCGACACCUACGUCUCCUGUCAGCCGCCGGUGUCAUCUGGAUGAACCACAACGUCCUCCACGGCCCGGAUCCGAAAGAGGGUCCACAAGAGUUCGAUGUAAGGCGAUGCUGCUUCGUCUUCAAAAUCUAGUUGGAAAGAGGAGAGACUAAUCUGAGAUCUGCUGGAAAAAGGCAGAAGACAGGAAAUGAGAAAAGACGAGAGGCUUCUACUUCACUGCUGACCGCAGGCCCUUGUGACAAAGUUUGGACCACAUCACCAACUUCAGGACCAACUCCAGCUCCUCACACUACCUUCCAAAUGAACUCAAUGCAUUCUCCACACACCUCCCAUAGUGCAUAUUGUCAUUGUCGGCAGGAUACAAGGCAGGUGAUCUUUUAUGCUUCUGAAGAACCGUGAACUACUUGGUUUGAGAUCAUGAGCCUAAGCUGGAGGGUGACGGGUCACCUGUGGGAGUUCAAUCCUACUUUCUUUCCCCCAGAGAAGCAAAAUGGAUCUGCUGCUGCGGAGCAGGUUCAAUAAUUCCAU